Molecule: transfer RNA, 73 nt
Filed under: Heliconius melpomene (postman butterfly)
Lineage: Eukaryota; Metazoa; Arthropoda; Insecta; Lepidoptera; Nymphalidae
Description: tRNA HMEL008825
Rfam family: tRNA (bases 6-65)
About the family: Transfer RNA (tRNA) molecules are approximately 80 nucleotides in length. Their secondary structure includes four short double-helical elements and three loops (D, anti-codon, and T loops).
Source: RNAcentral
GCAUCGGUGGUUCGGUGGUAGAAUGCUCGCCUGCCACGCGGGCGGCCCGGGUUCGAUUGCCGGCCCGGAUCCC